This 253-nucleotide ribosomal RNA is filed under the name uncultured bacterium. RNAcentral describes it as "partial 16S ribosomal RNA". It matches the Rfam family "Bacterial small subunit ribosomal RNA", at positions 524 to 776 of the family's 1533-position model. The record is from RNAcentral.
UACGUAGGGUGCGAGCGUUGUCCGGAAUUAUUGGGCGUAAAGAGCUCGUAGGCGGCCUGUCGCGUCGGAUGUGAAAGCCCGGGGCUUAACCCCGGGUCUGCAUUCGAUACGGGCAGGCUAGAGUGUGGUAGGGGAGAUCGGAAUUCCUGGUGUAGCGGUGAAAUGCGCAGAUAUCAGGAGGAACACCCGUGGCGAAGGCGGUUCUCUGGGACGGUACUGACGCUGAGACGCGAAAGCGUGGGGAGCGAACAGG